CAUCGUCAGCGGCUGAGCGAAAGCAUUAGUGAUCCACCUGGGAGUACGGUCGCAAGAUUGAAACUCAAAGGAAUUGACGGGGGCCCGCACAAGCGGAGGAACAUGUGGUUUAAUUCGAUGAUACGCGAGGAACUUACCUGGGCUUAAAUGCAGAGCGACGUCCGCCGAAAGGUGGAUUCCUUCGGGCGAUCUGCAAGGUGCUGCAUGGUUGUCGUCAGCUCGUGCCGUGAGGUGUCGGGUUAAGUCCCAUAACGAGCGCAACCCUUAUCGUUAGUUGCCAGCGGGUAAUGCCGGGGACUCUAACGAAACUGCCGGUGUAAACCGUGAGGAAGGUGGGGAUGACGUCAAAUCAGCACGGCCCUUAUGUCCAGGGCUACACACGUGUUACAAUGGUCGGUACAGAGGGCAGCUACCACGCAAGUGGAUGCUAAUCUCGAAAACCGGUCUCAGUUCGGAUUGAAGUCUGCAACUCGACUUCAUGAAGCUGGAUUCGCUAGUAAUCGCGCAUCAGCCAUGGCGCGGUGAAUACGUUCCCGGGCCUUGUACACACCGCCCGUCAAGCCAUGGAAGCUUGGGGUACCUGAAGUCCGUAACCGCAAGGAGCGGCCUAGGGUAAGACAAGUGACUGGGGCUAAGUCGUAACAAGGUAACCAAGGGCGAA
Molecule: ribosomal RNA, 661 nt
Filed under: uncultured organism
Description: bacterial SSU rRNA
Rfam family: Bacterial small subunit ribosomal RNA
Source: RNAcentral